UGGCGUUCUCCACUUAGGCAGCAGCCGUGGUUUCCACUCUAGGUGGCCGUGGGCAGUGAUGAUUUAGGGGUGCUGUCUGUCUAACCCAGGCUGCAGAAAGCUGUAGUUAAAGUUCGUUUCUGGUCGCGACUCUGGAAACCCACCCUCCUCUGAGGGUCAAGAAUCGCCGCUUCCUUCUCGUUCCCGCAAAUUCCUCAUCUGCCCCUGGCUUGUUCCCCGCGCCGCCUCCGGACACCCUCAAGUCCCUGACACCCCUAGACUCAAACUAUGAGCCUUCGGCAGCUGCUUCUGCGCUUGCCACGUUACCUCGCGGCCUCCGGCCCCCCGCGUGGCCCCCUCGACACCAUCUCCUCGGUUGUCUCCUGGCGUGGUCAGUCCUCCAGGUCCCCGGCCCACUGGAACCAAGUGGUGUCAGAGGCGGAGAAGAUCGUGGGCUACCCCACGUCCUUCAUGAGCCUCCGCUGCCUGCUGAGCGACGAGCUCAGCAACAUCGCUCUGCAGGUGCGGAAGCUGGUGGGGACUCAGCACCCUCUGCUUACCACAGCCAGGGGCUUUGUACAUGACAGCCAGAAUAACCUCCAGUUGAGGGGUUUGGUGGUGCUACUUAUUUCUAAGGCAGCUGGGCCCAGCAGUGUGAAUGCUUCAUGUCAGAACUAUAACAUGGUCAGUGGGAUCUACUCAUGUCAAAGAAGUUUGGCAGAGAUCACAGAACUUAUCCAUACUGCUCUCCUUGUACAUCGUGGGAUAGUAAAUUUAAAUGAAUUGCAAUCUUCUGAUGGGGCACUGAAAGACAUGCAAUUUGGAAAUAAAAUAGCUAUCCUGAGUGGAGACUUUCUUCUAGCAAAUGCCUGCAAUGGACUGGCUCUGCUGCAGAACACCAAGGUUGUGGAACUUUUAGCAAGUGCUCUUAUGGAUUUAGUGCAAGGAGUAUACCAUGAAAAUUCCACUUCAGCAAAGGAAAAUUGUAUCACAGAUGAUAUUGGAAUAUCGACUUGGAAGGAACAGACUUUUCUCUCCCAUGGUGCCUUAUUAGCAAAGAGCUGCCAAGCUGCAAUGGAAUUAGCAAAGCAUGAUGCUGAGGUUCAGGAUAUGGCAUUUCAGUAUGGGAAGCACAUGGCCAUGAGUCAUAAGAUAAAUUCUGAUCUCCAGCCUUUUAUUAAAGAAAAGACCAGUGACUCCUUGACUUUUAAUCUAAACUCAGCUCCUGUAGUCUUACAUCAGGAGUUUCUUGGAAGAGAUUUGUGGGUUAAGCAGAUUGGAGAGGCUCAAGAGAAAGGAAGACUAGACUAUGCUAAGUUGCGAGAAACAAUCAAAGCUGGCAAAGGUGUGACUUCAGCUAUUGACCUGUGUCGUUACCAUGGAAACAAGGCACUGGAGGCCCUGGAGAGCUUUCCUCCCUCGGAGGCCAGAACUGCUUUAGAAAACAUUGUGUUUGCUGUGACCAGAUUUUCGUGACACCAAAUUAAAAAGACUAUUGUUCGUUAGCUGAAAAAACUGGGGAAUGAGAUAACAAAGAUGCAAUGUGAAAUUUAGGGAAGAGGGAAGGUGAAUCCCAAAGAGAGGUUAUGAGGGAAUACACAGAACUUAAAUGGCAGACUUCUUGCCAAGCUGCCUCGCAGGUGGUGGCCUCACUGGUGAAGUUUACCAGCCAUACCCCCGCAUGCAGACUUCCCCACCACAUUUCACGUUGCUAACUUGCAGCUUCCACCCUUCCCCACCAGCACCUGUGACCCACUUCCCCUCUUCUCUGACUAACCUUCCUUUUGUGUCUCACACAUCUCUCUCUUAGUCCCACCCCUAGAGAGAUUCUUUUCUAAACUUUUAAAUUAUAUUUCCCCAGGAACUACAAAGCAGUUUCCCGUGCCACUAAGUCAUCUUCUUUUAAAUUUCUCAACUUAGAAAGACUGUUUCUAAAAAACAGUAUCAAUUAGACGUUGGUUAGAUAGUGAGUUAUUUGGCAUUCACUAUUAGUUACUUUGAAAGAAGAUAAGGAUUAUGACUGUCAUUAAACUUUGUUGUGAGUUUUACUUGAUGAUAACACUAAAUUCUCUUCAUGUUUUCUUCCUUAUAUAAUGUGGUAACCUAGUCACACCUAAAAAUCAAUGAUCAGUGACAUUGUGUGCCUGGUCCAGGCCUCAUUCUCUAACGUUUGAGACUUUCUCUUACCUAUGCCAGUGUUGUUGCUAUGACCCAGGAUGCAGGCGAAAGCUACAGACUUGGGGUAAAAGUCAUAUACAUUAGUGCAAAAUGCUCCAAAAAAGAUGUAGACCUUUUUUAAGGCCCAGUACCUGCAACACAACUCAGGUGGCCAGAAAGUAGACUGAAUAAUCUGAGAUGAUCUUUUAAAACCUGACAAGCUGCUGUAAUAUAGGUCUCUUUGGGCCAGUGGGUUUGGGAGAAUUGUGUUUAAUCGACAAAAUUACAGCUAAAGGAUACUUCUUUUUCUUUCUCUCUUUUUUUAAGACUCUUAACUAGGAAUUCCCUGGUGGUCCAGUGGUUAGGACUCGGUGCUUUCACUGCCCUGGCCUGGGUUCAGUCCCUGGUCAGGGAACUAAGAUCCUGUAAGCCACGUGGCAUAGACAAAAACAACAACAACAACAAAACAAAGCAGCAGGUCUGUCACAGAUAAGGAGAACCUUGCUUUUCAGAAAACCCUUUUCACUUCCUGGUUUCAUUCAGGCAGAUUCUUUCCUGCCCCUUCAUUUCUUUUCCCAUUGUGAAAUCCUGUUGUUAAGAUCUCACCUUUCUGACCAACAGAAGUUCCAGGAUUUAUCUCUAGACUCCGUAAUGACUGCCUCUCAAUCUGGAGAAGGCAUGCCACACCUUUGCUGAAACUCAAAAGGGCAGAGAUGGAUUGAGUUGAUUUUUUAAUCUAUUUAACUCUGAGGACACAGUUGUCGCUCCAUUAUUAUUAAUAGUUUCCAUUAUUGUUAAUCAAUUAUUGUCAAUCACCUUUUAGUAAUAAUAAAGCUAUUUGCACUUUUUUUUUUUAAUUUAUUGGCUGCAUUGGGUCUUUGUUGCAGUGCACGGGCUUUCUAUAGUAGUUGCGGAGAG
Molecule: RNA transcript, 3054 nt
Organism: Hippopotamus amphibius kiboko
Lineage: Eukaryota; Metazoa; Chordata; Mammalia; Artiodactyla; Hippopotamidae
Gene: PDSS2
Gene name: decaprenyl diphosphate synthase subunit 2
Exons: 10
Source: RefSeq, a predicted model, not a curated record